This 464-nucleotide ribosomal RNA is filed under the name Vreelandella stevensii. RNAcentral's name for it is "partial 16S ribosomal RNA". It matches the Rfam family "Bacterial small subunit ribosomal RNA", at positions 338 to 795 of the family's 1533-position model. Lineage: Bacteria; Pseudomonadati; Pseudomonadota; Gammaproteobacteria; Oceanospirillales; Halomonadaceae. The record is from RNAcentral.
CCUACGGGGUGCAGCAGUGGGGAAUAUUGGACAAUGGGCGAAAGCCUGAUCCAGCCAUGCCGCGUGUGUGAAGAAGGCCUUCGGGUUGUAAAGCACUUUCAGUGGGGAAGAAAGCCUUGGGGCUAAUACCCUCGAGGAAGGACAUCACCCACAGAAGAAGCACCGGCUAACUCCGUGCCAGCAGCCGCGGUAAUACGGAGGGUGCGAGCGUUAAUCGGAAUUACUGGGCGUAAAGCGCGCGUAGGCGGUCUGAUAAGCCGGUUGUGAAAGCCCCGGGCUCAACCUGGGAACGGCAUCCGGAACUGUCAGGCUAGAGUGCAGGAGAGGAAGGUAGAAUUCCCGGUGUAGCGGUGAAAUGCGUAGAGAUCGGGAGGAAUACCAGUGGCGAAGGCGGCCUUCUGGACUGACACUGACGCUGAGGUGCGAAAGCGUAGGUAGCAAACAGGAUUAGAUACCCCAUAGUC